UAAGGGUCCAUAGCUCGGCGGUAGAGCAUUUGAUUGCGGAUCAAGAGGUUAUUGGUUUGAACCCCGUUAUUUUUCUCUUAA
Dovyalis caffra is the source of this 81-nucleotide non-coding RNA. The record is from the annotation of a GenBank genome assembly. NCBI's taxonomy places the organism in Eukaryota, Viridiplantae, Streptophyta, Magnoliopsida, Malpighiales, Salicaceae.